GCCACAGUCUUAUCUUAGUCAGUAAAGCAUGAGACUCUUCAUCUCAGGGUUGUGAGUUCGGGCCCUGCAUUGGGCA
This is a non-coding RNA of Podarcis lilfordi (Lilford's wall lizard), 76 nucleotides long. The record is from the annotation of a GenBank genome assembly. Lineage: Eukaryota; Metazoa; Chordata; Lepidosauria; Squamata; Lacertidae.